This 429-nucleotide ribosomal RNA is filed under the name Pseudomonadota bacterium. RNAcentral describes it as "Proteobacteria bacterium partial 16S ribosomal RNA". It matches the Rfam family "Bacterial small subunit ribosomal RNA", at positions 355 to 776 of the family's 1533-position model. The record is from RNAcentral. Lineage: Bacteria; Pseudomonadati; Pseudomonadota.
UGGGGAAUAUUGGACAAUGGGCGAAAGCCUGAUCCAGCCAUGCCGCGUGUGUGAAGAAGGUCUUCGGAUUGUAAAGCACUUUAAGUUGGGAGGAGGGGCAGUAAGCGAGUACCUUGCUGUUUUGACGUUACCGACAGAAUAAGCACCGGCUAACUCUGUGCCAGCAGCCGCGGUAAUACAGAGGGUGCAAGCGUUAAUCGGAAUUACUGGGCGUAAAGCGCGCGUAGGUGGUUCGUUAAGUUGAAUGUGAAAGCCCCGGGCUCAACCUGGGAACUGCAUCCAAAACUGGCGAGCUAGAGUAGGGCAGAGGGUGGUGGAAUUUCCUGUGUAGCGGUGAAAUGCGUAGAUAUAGGAAGGAACACCAGUGGCGAAGGCGACCACCUGGGCUCAUACUGACACUGAGGUGCGAAAGCGUGGGGAGCAAACAGG